This 255-nucleotide ribosomal RNA is filed under the name uncultured bacterium. RNAcentral describes it as "partial 16S ribosomal RNA". It matches the Rfam family "Bacterial small subunit ribosomal RNA", at positions 524 to 776 of the family's 1533-position model. The record is from RNAcentral.
UACGUAGGGCGCAAGCGUUAUCCGGAAUUAUUGGGCGUAAAGAGCUCGUAGGCGGUUUGUCGCGUCUGCCGUGAAAGUCCGGGGCUCAACUCCGGAUCUGCGGUGGGUACGGGCAGACUAGAGUGAUGUAGGGGGAGACUGGAAUUCCUGGUGUAGCGGUGAAAUGCGCAGAUAUCAGGAGGAACACCGGUGGCGAAGGCGGGUCUCUGGGCCGAUACUGACGCUGAGGAGCGAAAGCGUGGGGGAGCGAACAGG